AAUUUUUUAUGAGAGUUUGAUCCUGGCUCAGGAUGAACGCUGGCGGCGUGCCUAACACAUGCAAGUCGAGCGAGGGUUUGCUCAGUAUUGAGUAUUCUAAGUCUAGAAUGUUCAAUUCUGAGCAAAACCAAGCGGCGGACGGGUGAGUAACGCGUGGGUAACCUGCCCUAUACACAUGGAUAACAUACUGAAAAGUUUACUAAUACAUGAUAAUAUAUAUUUGCGGCAUCGCAGAUAUAUCAAAGUGUUAGCGGUAUAGGAU
RNAcentral lists this ribosomal RNA (262 nucleotides) under [Eubacterium] sulci. Its description in RNAcentral is "partial 16S ribosomal RNA". It matches the Rfam family "Bacterial small subunit ribosomal RNA", at positions 1 to 226 of the family's 1533-position model. Lineage: Bacteria; Bacillati; Bacillota; Clostridia; Peptostreptococcales; Anaerovoracaceae. The record is from RNAcentral.